AGAUUAAUUGAAAUUAAGGAGAUUCAUCUCUUUACACUAAGCAUUGUUCUUGUCAUUUCUUCUAAAGUUCUAUUUUUUCUCUCUACAACUCUAUUUUGUUGUGGAGUUCUAGGAAUCAAAAAGUUAUGGAAAAUGCCAUUAUUUAAACAAAAUUCAUCAAAAGAUUAGUUUUCAAACUUUCUCCCAUGAUCACUUCUAAUUGAGGAAAUAAGUAACCCUU
This 220-nucleotide unclassified non-coding RNA is filed under the name Hevea brasiliensis (rubber tree). Lineage: Eukaryota; Viridiplantae; Streptophyta; Magnoliopsida; Malpighiales; Euphorbiaceae. The record is from RNAcentral.